AAAAACAACAACGACACAACUCCCAAAGGACACAAAAGCUAGUGUCGGAGAGGUCCAACACUGGACCAAUUAUUCUGAUGGAGAGCCCAGGCUACUUUCCACCUGUGUGAUUCCAACUCGGCGACAUCUGGAACAGGUGGAACCGCGGAGACGGCAGACAGUGGCAGAGAGAUGGCGGGGGAUGCAGGGAGGCAGCGAGGCCUGAGCACGGAGGACUCUGAGGCAGCGAGAAUGCUCUGCACGGUCCUGAGAUGGUGGAGACCCACAAAGAGUGCAACCAGGAGGGGCCCUGAUGGAAACGGCGGGCUCCGGGUGUAGGUGCCCCGCCUGGACCGCGGGCGCCGCUCAGGUGGUGGAUGGGGACGGAGGAGGAACGAAUGAAAAGGUGCUCAAUAAUCAUCACAUUUUGCUCCGGCGCAUAAGGAACAGAGGAGACUGCGAAGCAGCCACAGACGACCUGGUUUCCGAGGACGCGGCUCAGGAAGAUGGCAGGCGGCCCUUUGAACCCACAGGAAACGUAACUUUGUCUCAACUGAGUUUGCACAAAGCCCCAAGCCAAGAGCAGGAAGGAGAUCUUGUGCAACGGCAGAUGCUGAAACGGGAGGAGGGAUGGAUUUGGGGCGUAAGGCUGGUCCAGCUGCAAUCACCCUUGACCCUCCUGGUCCAGGACACGCGUUCUGGUGAUCAAGGUUCUGUGAAGUGGGCGCGACAGUGGCCUCGCCAGGAACCACGAGGCAGAGUCCAUGGGGUCACGCGUGGCAGGCUUGCCCAGGCAGAGCGCCGCCUGCAGUCGGCAUCUGUCACUCACACGAGAGCUUCUGCUCAGAGUGGCUCCUCUCCGCUGAGGUCCUUCUGAAGCUCUGGGGGCGGGGAGGCUCUGAUGACGUGCAGCAGCUGGGCACAUCCGCGUGCCAUUUUAGAGAAGUCUGCCCAUUUGGCACAGCUGUCCACUCUCUUGGAGUGAGGAGGUGAGUCAGUCGGGCCCUUGCUCUGGACCCCAGACUGUACAUGGGAGUCCAUGCCUGGCACACAGGGGAUCAGUUUCCCUGCUUGCUGGUCAAAGGAUUCCAGUUUCCAACAGGAAGGAAAAUAACAAUGAUGCUGACGAUAAUGAAAGCGACGGAGCUCCAUGUCCAGGCACUGGGCCAAGAGCUGUUCCUGGUUUGGGUUUUUCAUUUUAUUUUCAUGCAUUAAAAAAAAAAAAAAUGUUUUAACGGCUGCACCUGCAGCACAUGAAAGUUCCUGAGCUGGGGUCAAAUCAGAGCUGCAGCUGAGGCCAACCCCACAGCCACACUGGUCCAGGUCGCAGCUGUGACCUAUGCUGAGCUUGUGGCAACGCCAGGACCUUAAACCACUGAGUGAGGCCAGGGAGUGAACCCGCAUCCUCA
Molecule: long non-coding RNA, 1388 nt
Filed under: Sus scrofa (pig)
Lineage: Eukaryota; Metazoa; Chordata; Mammalia; Artiodactyla; Suidae
Description: lncRNA (ENSSSCG00060058468.1)
Source: RNAcentral